ACGCUGCUGCCAGUAGUUGCACGACUCGAAUACCAUCUACCCAUCCUCUUCUUCACUUCACUCUCGCUUGACACACACACGCACACAUACACACGCACGCACACACGCACAUACACACACACACGCACACACACACAUACACACACAUACACACACACACGCACACACACACAUACACACACACACACACGCACUCACACACACAAACCACACACGCACACACACAUACAUACACGCGUGCACACAGAGACUCUCAGAUGACCCCUCAACCACAAGCCCCCUAGGCUAUGCCACCUAUCCAACCAUACGGAUGCACCCACAAUCGCACGAGGACAUGGACACGCACACAGCCCCCACUUACAC
Molecule: long non-coding RNA, 363 nt
Filed under: Volvox carteri
Lineage: Eukaryota; Viridiplantae; Chlorophyta; Chlorophyceae; Chlamydomonadales; Volvocaceae
Description: long non-coding RNA (VCAR_LNC001638)
Source: RNAcentral